CCUACGGGUGGCUGCAGUGAGGAAUAUUGGUCAAUGGCCGGAAGGCUGAACCAGCCAAGCCGCGUGAAGGACGAAGGUGCCAAGCAUUGUAAACUUCUUUUGUCAAGGAACAAAAUCAGGCUCGAGAGCCUGACCGAGGGUACUUGAAGAAAAAGCAUCGGCUAACUCGGUGCCAGCAGCCGCGGUCAUACGGAGGAUGCGAGCGUUAUCCGGAUGGAUUGGGGUUAAAGGGUGCGUAGGCGGGCUGUUAAGUCAGCGGUAAAAGCUCGGGGCUAAACCCCGGCGAGCCGUUGAAACUGGGUGUCUUGAGAUGUCGAGAGGUAUGCGGAAUGCGGAGUGUAGCGGUGAAAUGCUUAGAUAUUGCGCAGAACUCCGAUUGCGAAGGCAGCAUACCGGCGGCGAUCUGACGCUGAGGCACGAAAGCGUGGGUAUCGAACAGGAUUAGAUACCCUUGUAGUC
Molecule: ribosomal RNA, 459 nt
Filed under: uncultured bacterium
Lineage: Bacteria
Description: partial 16S ribosomal RNA
Rfam family: Bacterial small subunit ribosomal RNA
Source: RNAcentral